Molecule: ribosomal RNA, 865 nt
Filed under: Candidatus Poribacteria bacterium
Lineage: Bacteria; Candidatus Poribacteria
Description: bacterial SSU rRNA
Rfam family: Bacterial small subunit ribosomal RNA
Source: RNAcentral
AGAGUAUGAUACCGGCUCAGGACGAACGCUAGCGGCGUGGAUUAGGCAUGCAAGUCGUACGAGAAUCAGUGGCUUCGGCCGCUGAGGAAAGUGGCGAAAGGGUGAGUAACGCGUAGGUAAUCUACCUUUGAGAUAGGGAUAACGGUUCGAAAGGGCCGCUAAUACCUUAUACGAUUGGUGUUCCUUCGGGAUAUCCAAUGAAAGGUGGGAUCUUCGGAUCUGUCGCUCAAAGAUGAGCCUGCGUCCUAUUAGCUAGUUGGUGAGGUAACGGCUCACCAAGGCUACGAUGGGUAGCUAGUCUGAGAGGAUGAUUAGCCACAUUGGGACUGAGACACUGCCCAAACUCCUACGGGAGGCUGCAGUCGAGAAUAUUUCGCAAUGGGGGAAACCCUGACGAUGCGACGCCGCGUGGGGGAUGAAGGUCUUCGGAUUGUAAACCUCUGUGUUAUGGGAAGAAUCGCUGGUGGGUGAUAAGCUCGCUAGCUUGACGGUACCAUAGUAGAAAGCCCCAGCUAACUGCGUGCCAGCAGCUGCGGUAAUACGUGGGGGGCAAGCGUUGUCCGGAUUUACUGGGCGUAAAGCGUGUGUAGGCGGUUACAUAAGUCGAGUGUGAAAUGGCUUGGCUCAACCAAGCAACUGCGCUCGAUACUGUGUGGCUUGAGUACGGAAGAGGAAAGUGGAAUGUAAGGUGUAGCGGUGAAAUGCGUAGAUAUCUUAUAGAACACCUAUGGCGAAGGCAGCUUUCUGGUCCGAUACUGACGCUGAGUACACGAAAGCUUGGGGAGCGAACGGGAUUAGAUACCCCGGUAGUCCAAGCCGUAAACGAUGGGUACUAAGUGUAGGGGGUAUUGAUUCCUCCUGUGCU